CCUACGGGCGGCAGCAGUGAGGAAUAUUGGUCAAUGGACGAGAGUCUGAACCAGCCAAGUCGCGUGAAGGAUGACUGCCCUAUGGGUUGUAAACUUCUUUUAUAUGGGAAUAAAAUGCUCCACGUGUGGGGUUUUGUAUGUAACAUAUGAAUAAGGAUCGGCUAACUCCGUGCCAGCCGCCGGGGUAAUACGGAGGAUUCGAGCGUUAACCGGAUUUAUUGGGUUUAAAGGGGGCGUAGGUGGGUUGUUAAGUCAGUUGGGAAAGUUUGGGGCUUAACCGUGAAAUUGCAGUUGAAACUGGCAGUCUUGAGUACAGUAGAGGUAGGCGGAAUGCGUGGUGUAGCGGUGAAAUGCUUAGAUAUCACGCAGAACUCCGAUUGCGAAGGCAGUUCACCGGACUGCAACUGACGCUGAGGCACGAAAGUGUGGGUAUCGAACAGGAUUAGAUACCCGAGUAGUC
This 460-nucleotide ribosomal RNA is filed under the name uncultured bacterium. Its description in RNAcentral is "partial 16S ribosomal RNA". It matches the Rfam family "Bacterial small subunit ribosomal RNA", at positions 338 to 795 of the family's 1533-position model. The record is from RNAcentral.